AGUAAAUUUCUCAGCUCUGCUCAAACAGAAGGAAACUUGUCGAUACCCGUUGCUUGCCGUUGAAAGCCUGACCUCCUGCUUGCUCCAUCAGGGUAUAAAAAGAUACCACCAUAAAGCAACGUGCGGUGGACAUCUGCAACCAUGCUGCAAGGCAAUAGGAUUAUUGGAAGCUAGCUUUUUGGGAACAGAAUGAGCUAACAAGUGGGAAAAAGAAUGUGAUUCUGACAGGAACUUCCGUACAUACAAUAGCCAGCUGCCAACAGAUUUCUUCCAGGUUGCAGUACAUCAUCAAGGGUUGGGUUAUCCUUAUCUUUCACUAAGUAUAUACCAAAAAUCUGUUUACAUGAGGAAACAUUGAGGUUAGCAUUUGACUGAAACCAGUCUAUGGAGUCCAAGCAAAGGGAGUAGAGAGCUGAAGGGGCAUACGGUUCCGAUGGAAACACCGCAGUCAAUGUUCGAGGAUCCAUCCAAAGGGUCAAAAACAACAAUGUAUCUGAAUAAUCAACAGAAACAGUUUGGGCCCAAAAUGUCAGUCUGGAGUUUAUAACUGUAUUGGGUUCAAAAAUGUAAAUUUAAGGAACAGAGAACUUCUGCGGAAACCUUC
This is a non-coding RNA of Theobroma cacao (cacao), 604 nucleotides long. The record is from RefSeq and is a predicted model, not a curated record. Lineage: Eukaryota; Viridiplantae; Streptophyta; Magnoliopsida; Malvales; Malvaceae.